AUUUGAACCAAAAAUUUGUGUUUCUUUACUAAUCUUAAUUCUAAGCUACUUUGUACUCUGAUGACUUUUGUAUUCAGUUACAAUUCUCCCGUCGGAAAAUGGCUUGGCUUCGUCGCCGCCGUUUGGGUACAAGCUAUUUCCGGCAACAAUUAUACUUUCUCUAACUACUCCGACGCUUUAAAGUCUCUAAUGGCACUCACUCAGCUCCAAUUAAACAACCUCUCAGUAGCUAAGGAUGUCGGAAAAGCGUUCGGGAUACUCGCCGGACUUGCCUCCGACCGUCUAUCUACUCCGGUUAUUCUUUUCAUUGGAGGAAUCGAAGGCUUCAUUGGUUACGGUGUACAAUGGCUUGUCGUUAGUGGUACAAUUAAACCUCUUCCUUACUGGGUCAUGUGUAUAUUUUUAUGCAUGGGAGGUAACAGUACUACAUGGAUGAACACCGCCGUAUUAGUUACUUGUAUAAGGAAUUUCAGGAAAAACAGGGGUCCUGUAACCGGGAUUUUGAAAGGAUAUGUUGGAUUGAGUACGGCAAUAUUCACCGAUAUUUGUUCGGCGUUAUUUUCCAGCGAUCCAGCUACUUUCUUACUCAUACUUGCCGUAGUUCCUUUUUCCGUUUGUCUCGCGGCGAUUGUCUUUCUCCGUGAAAUUCCACCUUCCUCAACUUCUGCAGAAGAAAAGGAAGAGGUCAAAUACUUCGGCGUCAUUAACAUAAUUGCCGUCAUUAUAGCUGUUUAUUUGUUAGUAUUUGACAUUUCCGGUACUCAUGGCAAAGUUUUUUCACAAUUUUUUGCUGCAAUACUUCUGGUACUUAUAGCAUCGCCUUUGUUCAUUCCGAUUCACCUUAUGGUGAAAAAUUUUAUCCGCGAAAAUUCAGAGAACUUUGACGUUGAAGGGAAUAACAAUGUUGCAGAGCCAUUACUGUGCGUUGAAGAAACGGUUACAGAAGAAGUUGAGAAAAAGGAGACUGUUGUAGUGGAGGAAAAUAAGGUGCCAGUUGCAGUGGAGAAACGGCAACCUGUUAUUGGAGAAGAUCACACGAUUUUCGAGGCAAUAAGGACUCUGGAUUUCUGGAUCUUGUUUGUAUCAUUUCUUUGUGGAGUUGGAACAGGUUUGACUGUGAUGAACAAUUUGGGGCAAAUGGGAUUAGCUCUGGGAUAUGUUGAUGUUUCCAUUUUCGUCUCCCUCACCAGCAUUUGGGGAUUUUUCGGUCGAAUUAUUUCCGGCUCCGUCUCCGAAUACUUCAUCAAGAAAGCUGCAGUGCCAAGACCAAUAUGGAAUGCGGCUUCACAGAUUCUGAUGGCUGUUGGAUACAUCUGUUUAGCCAUGGCUAUGCCAGGAUCACUCUACAUUGGCUCCAUUGUGGUUGGAAUUUGCUAUGGGGUUCGUCUUGCCAUAUCUGUUCCAGCUGCUUCUGAACUCUUUGGUCUCAAAUAUUACGGUCUCAUUUAUAAUGUCCUAAUUCUCAACCUUCCACUCGGCUCAUUUCUCUUCUCUGGUUUGCUUGCGGGUCUGUUAUAUGAUGCUCAGGCUACAACAACAGCUGAUGGUGGUAACACUUGUGUAGGUGCUCACUGCUACAGGCUUGUAUUUAUAGUUAUGGCUAUAGCUUGCAUCAUUGGGUUCGGCUUGGAUAUUUUGUUAUCCAUUAGAACCAGGAGCUUAUAUGGUAAGAUUUAUGCAAGCAAGAAAGCCAAGAAGACUAGUACUAGUAUAUUGUCUUGAUGAGUACUCAUUGUGAACUCAAAAGUGGGAGGAUUGAUAGGACAUUCGUGUGCUGAUGAUACCCUUUCCACUUGCACAAGUCAACUUUGUUUGAUUAGUAGGAUUAUUUCGUUACUUUGUAUCGAGUAAAUCUUAAUUCAUUGUACUAUACUGAACUUGUAAAACUAUUGAACUGGUAUUUUAUCCUCCGUCUUGGGCGUGGUGAAGCAAAUGAUCAGUGAGAUUGACCACCAUCAGUAUAGUCAGAGUGUGUAAUUGUGGACAAGGCCAUUGACCCAUGAUGACAGCCCACAAAAUAAUGCAAUAUCAGACUAAAUUGUUAGGAGUUGGCCCAGUACUGGAGAAACACAUGCAGGAUGAUAGCAAUGGGACCAAGAGGUAAAAAACUUCUAGUUGGCUACAAAAACAGAAUUAAGAGCUUGUUUGGCUCAGCUUAAAAGCUGGUCAAACUGACUUAAAAGCUGAUUUUUAACUUAUUUAACUGUUUGACAAUACUCAAAAUAGCUUAUUUUAAGUUAAAAAAAAACUUAUUUUAAGCCAAAAGUUAAAAGCUGGGGUAGGGGUGCUUUUUUUUUCAAGCUUAUAAGUUGUUUUAAGUUGACCACAUUUUUACCUUUUUGCCCUUAAUAUUUUUAUA
This 2359-nucleotide unclassified non-coding RNA is filed under the name Hevea brasiliensis (rubber tree). Lineage: Eukaryota; Viridiplantae; Streptophyta; Magnoliopsida; Malpighiales; Euphorbiaceae. The record is from RNAcentral.